RNAcentral lists this long non-coding RNA (399 nucleotides) under Homo sapiens (human). Its description in RNAcentral is "HSALNT0018380". Lineage: Eukaryota; Metazoa; Chordata; Mammalia; Primates; Hominidae. The record is from RNAcentral.
CUUCGGCUGCCACAGCGCGUAGAGAAAGACCAUAGACUCUCCAGUGAGGAUGUGUGUUCAGAGGUAGCCUCUCCCGCCUCGCGCUUUGGGCACCCGCAGUUUUUCAGCUGCCUCCUGGAGUUUACAGCAGCAAGCUGCUUUUUUCAAAGGCUGGCAGAGUUAUACAAUCUGCUGAGCGUCAGGAACACAAGCUGCUGAGCAUCGGGGAUACAAGUGGCUGAGCGUCAAGCACAGAAGCAGCAACUGAACAUCAGAGACUAAGGAUAGACAUGGCUAACUUCAGAUGGUGUGGCUUCAGGGAAACAUCACCUUCUUCCUGCACUACCUCCUUUCCAAUUCCCCAUCCCACUGAGAGCCACGCUUAUUGCCCAAUAAAAUCCUCCGUGUAUACUACCCUUC